UUCUUGGUCAUUUAGAGGAAGUAAAAGUCGUAACAAGGUUUCCGUAGGUGAACCUGCGGAAGGAUCAUUAAAGAAAUUUAAUAAUUUUGAAAAUGGAUUUUUUUGCUUUGGCAAGAGCAUGAGAGCUUUUACUGGGCAAGAAGACAAGAGAUGGAGAGUCCAGCCGGGCCUGCGCUUAAGUGCGCGGUCUUGCUAGGCUUGUAAGUUUCUUUCUUGCUAUUCCAAACGGUGAGAGAUUUCUGUGCUUUUGUUAUAGGACAAUUAAAACCGUUUCAAUACAACACACUGUGGAGUUUUCAUAUCUUUGCAACUUUUUCUUUGGGCAUUCGAGCAAUCGGGGCCCAGAGGUAACAAACACAAACAAUUUUAUCUAUUCAUUAAAUUUUUGUCAAAAACAAGAAUUUUCGUAACUGGAAAUUUUAAAAUACUAAAAACUUUCAACAACGGAUCUCUUGGUUCUCGCAUCGAUGAAGAACGCAGCGAAAUGCGAUACGUAAUGUGAAUUGCAGAAUUCCGUGAAUCAUCGAAUCUUUGAACGCACAUUGCGCCCCUUGGUAUUCCAGGGGGCAUGCCUGUUUGAGCGUCAUUUCCUUCUCAAACAUUCUGUUUGGUAGUGAGUGAUACUCUUUGGAGUUAACUUGAAAUUGCUGGCCUUUUCAUUGGAUGUUUUUUUUCCAAAGAGAGGUUUCUCUGCGUGCUUGAGGUAUAAUGCAAGUACGGUCGUUUUAGGUUUUACCAACUGCGGCUAAUCUUUUUUUAUACUGAGCGUAUUGGAACGUUAUCGAUAAGAAGAGAGCGUCUAGGCGAACAAUGUUCUUAAAGUUUGACCUCAAAUCAGGUAGGAGUACCCGCUGAACUUAAGCAUAUCAAUAAGCGGAGGAA
This 882-nucleotide ribosomal RNA is filed under the name uncultured fungus. RNAcentral's name for it is "eukaryotic LSU rRNA". The stretch from base 433 to 586 matches the Rfam family "5.8S ribosomal RNA". The record is from RNAcentral. Lineage: Eukaryota; Fungi.